Molecule: transfer RNA, 85 nt
Filed under: Lachnospiraceae bacterium TWA4
Lineage: Bacteria; Bacillati; Bacillota; Clostridia; Lachnospirales; Lachnospiraceae
Rfam family: tRNA
About the family: Transfer RNA (tRNA) molecules are approximately 80 nucleotides in length. Their secondary structure includes four short double-helical elements and three loops (D, anti-codon, and T loops). Further hydrogen bonds mediate the characteristic L-shaped molecular structure. tRNAs have two regions of fundamental functional importance: the anti-codon, which is responsible for specific mRNA codon recognition, and the 3' end, to which the tRNAs corresponding amino acid is attached (by aminoacyl-tRNA synthetases). tRNAs cope with the degeneracy of the genetic code in two manners: having more than one tRNA (with a specific anti-codon) for a particular amino acid; and 'wobble' base-pairing, i.e. permitting non-standard base-pairing at the 3rd anti-codon position.
Source: Rfam by way of RNAcentral
GCAGCUGUGGCGGAAUUGGCAUACGCGCAUGAUUCAGGUUCAUGUGUCCAUUAUGGACUUGCGGGUUCAAGUCCCGCCAGCUGCA